ACUCCUACGGGAGGCAGCAGUGGGGAAUAUUGCACAAUGGGCGCAAGCCUGAUGCAGCCAUGCCGCGUGUGUGAAGAAGGCCUUCGGGUUGUAAAGCACUUUCAGUCGUGAGGAAGGUAGUGUAGUUAAUAGCUGCAUUAUUUGUACGUUAGCGACAGAAGAAGCACCGGCUAACUCCGUGCCAGCAGCCGCGGUAAUACGGAGGGUGCGAGCGUUAAUCGGAAUUACUGGGCGUAAAGCGCAUGCAGGUGGUUUGUUAAGUCAGAUGUGAAAGCCCGGGGCUCAACCUCGGAAUAGCAUUUGAAACUGGCAGACUAGAGUACUGUAGAGGGGGUUAGAAUUUCAGGUGUAGCGGUGAAAUGCGUAGAGAUCUGAAGGAAUACCGGUGGCGAAGGCGGCCCCUGGACAGAUACUGACACUCAGAUGCGAAAGCGUGGGAGCAAACGAGGAUUAGAUACCCCUGGUAGACUGUCA
RNAcentral lists this ribosomal RNA (474 nucleotides) under uncultured bacterium. RNAcentral describes it as "bacterial SSU rRNA". It matches the Rfam family "Bacterial small subunit ribosomal RNA", at positions 335 to 802 of the family's 1533-position model. The record is from RNAcentral.